UUGGAGGGCAAGUCUGGUGCCAGCAGCCGCGGUAAUUCCAGCUCCAAUAGCGUAUAUUAAAGUUGUUGCAGUUAAAAAGCUCGUAGUUGAAUUUCGGGAUCAAUUUGCUGGUCGUGCCUUCGGUACGCACUGGUAUUAUUGGUUUCUCCUUUCUGAUGAAUCGCGAUGUCAUUAAUUUGGUGUCGUGGGGAAUCAGGACCGUUACUUUGAAAAAUUAGAGUGUUUAAAGCAGGCUCACGCUUGAAUACAUUAGCAUGGAAUAAUGAAAUAGGACGUUUGAUUCUAUUUUGUUGGUUUCUAGGAUCGACGUAAUGAUUAAUAGGGAUAGUUGGGGGCAUUAGUAUUCAAUUGUCAGAGGUGAAAUUCUUGGAUUUAUUGAAGACUAACUACUGCGAAAGCAUUUGCCAAGGAUGUUUUCAUUAAUCAAGAACGAAAGUUAGGGGAUCGAAGACGAUCAGAUACCGUCGUAGUCUUAACCAUAAACUAUGCCGACUAGGGAUCGGAUGAUGUUAAUUUUAACGACUCAUUCGGCGCC
RNAcentral lists this ribosomal RNA (535 nucleotides) under uncultured Glomeraceae. Its description in RNAcentral is "SSU rRNA". It matches the Rfam family "Eukaryotic small subunit ribosomal RNA", at positions 548 to 1087 of the family's 1831-position model. The record is from RNAcentral. Lineage: Eukaryota; Fungi; Glomeromycota; Glomeromycetes; Glomerales; Glomeraceae.